CAGCCGCCGCGGUAAUACGAAGGGGGCUAGCGUUGUUCGGAAUUACUGGGCGUAAAGCGCACGUAGGCGGAUUUCUAAGUCAGGGGUGAAAUCCCGAGGCUCAACCUCGGAACUGCCUUUGAUACUGGAGAUCUUGAGUUCGGAAGAGGUUGGUGGAACAGCUAGUGUAGAGGUGAAAUUCGUAGAUAUUAGCUAGAACACCAGUGGCGAAGGCGGCCAACUGGUCCGAUACUGACGCUGAGGUGCGAAAGCGUGGGGAGCAAACAGGAUUAGAUACCCGGGUAGUCCCUGUCUCUUAUAC
This 301-nucleotide ribosomal RNA is filed under the name uncultured bacterium. Its description in RNAcentral is "partial 16S ribosomal RNA". It matches the Rfam family "Bacterial small subunit ribosomal RNA", at positions 509 to 807 of the family's 1533-position model. The record is from RNAcentral.